This is a long non-coding RNA of Daphnia carinata, 3054 nucleotides long. RefSeq lists it as uncharacterized. NCBI's taxonomy places the organism in Eukaryota, Metazoa, Arthropoda, Branchiopoda, Diplostraca, Daphniidae. The transcript is spliced from 4 exons. The record is from RefSeq and is a predicted model, not a curated record.
UUUUUUUGGCCUUGUUUGAAACAGGACGCCGCCGCCGUUAAUUCCUCCGACUGUGUUUUCUUCAAUUUUCGUCUUACACCUUUAAACUUCAUCCGACCUGACACGGCCCGACCCCCUCACACCACCGGAAUAGAUGUUCUUCGAGAGGGACGGGAUCAACAGCGACGUAAAAGAGGGACGAGCCAGCGAGGUGACAAUUAAGCAUCCCACAAAAAGAAACCACCCAACCCAACAGCCAACAUUUGAGAGCGAUGGGAGAAAAGAAGUAAAAGAAAAAAAAGAGAAAACGAAAAGCAGCCUGCGCAUCACUGAAGGUCUCUCCCCCUUGUUCUGGCCCCUCUUCAUACAGAUGGGGAAGUGCAGCGUUUAGGAAUUGUUCAACUCUCGACGACCAAAAGUCAUUGAAUCGAUGGGAUACAAGUGACAGCGGAUCGAAUCGGCACUUUGACAAAUGACAUUUCACGCCGACCCUCAAACUCCCCUUGUCCGUUGCAUGAACUUUUUCCUCUGGCCGUCCGCUGUAUGCCUGCCACCAAAAUGCAUUGUGACCGGCAUGCACGCCCGCCAUGUUGUCACACACUCGGCCGUGUCCGCAUACUUUUCUUUCAAGAGCUCUUUCUUCUCCCACACUCGCUCAAAAGCGAUUCCAAGUCUGUCGUCUUUUUUCCACCUUUCACGCGGAACGACCCUCUCUCAAUGGAAGUUGCUGUCAUCUAUCUGUUAUAAAGUGAUGUCGCCCCUUUUUCGGCACGGUCGCAUACAGAUCUGCACCAUUCAAGCUUCAUUACCAAGCCGACUGGCCGGCCAACGGGCUUUUUGGGGUAGCCCACCUUAAGACGAGUCAGUGGUGCGCGCCCGCUAGUUUCGAAAUCCCGCCGAGCACUUCUCCAUCAUAGUGUCGUGUUGAUGUGGCACCCUUUGCCCCUCGACAGCAUCAUACGUUGUUGUGUACCGCGUCAGCUCUGGUAAUUCGUUUUUUUCUUUUCCGUCUAUGUCGUCUUCCUCUUCAGGCUAUGGGCUACAUAGCCGUCAUAAGAGAGAAAGAAAGAAAAAAGGAAAACUCCAGAACUAAAUGGACUCUCUGGCAUUCUCAAGAAUUUUUCACGGUGUUUGCCAUUGCAUUCUUGCGCAUUCACGAGCGUCUUUGUGUUGGUGUAAGCACGAGUGUGCUCACUACAGGAUGACCGCUGCUGUUGUGUUGGUAACAAAUGCAGUCAUUCAUUAUUUUGGGUUUUGAGCACGAUAUUUUUCGCACCCCCUUCCCGAAUAAGGAAAAUGCUAAACAGACUAUCCAAGAAAAAUCCAAGAAAAAUGAUGUAUGCCUUAAUGAACUUGAAUAGGAUGGACUUUCUUUUGCAGGAAACUUGAAAAUUAAGAGAUCGUCAACUAUCGUAUCGCCGUGAGAAACCGAAGCUAGACAGAAAUGUGCUGUGGAGAUGGUUUACCUUUUAUGGCGCAAUGCUAUACUUGCCUGUAAAGGAAUAAAUACGUCUAUGGAAAAGGAUUAUUUUCCAUUUUUAAAUAUAGGACAUUCCACAUUACUUGGCUCCUCUUUGGUGUUAAAGUUAGUUUUCCCCCCGAAAAUGCGCACAGACAGUGAAACGAGUUUCCUGGAAAUGAGCAAACAGCAAGGGCUUCGUUCGAUUGUUCAAUAGACUGAAGAAGAUAGUCUGUAAGGUGUCCUUUCUUUUUACCUGUUUUUUAGGCUAUGUCUUCCUCUUUUUUUACACUUGAAAACAGAGUAUGCUCUAUUAUUAUUUUUUUUUCUCUUUUAGUUGGAGGAUCUGUGGUGAAUAAAGCGGUAAUCACAACCAACUGCAGCAUCAAGGUUGGCUGGAGACCUUUUGUCCGAGGGCCUUCUCUUGUAUCGUCCUAAAGUCGACACGUCAUGGCCAAUGAAAAGCUUCAUUCUGACUGUCAUGCCAUCACUGAAAAAAGCUUUGAUUAUUAUUUUUUUGUAUGUGCUUUCUUGCAUAUUGCGUGUUACCCCCUCAACCGCUCUCAUCUUACAUAUUCUUUUCUUUUUCAGUUCUGCAGGCUGAGCUGUCAGUCGACCCAACUGGCCGGACAAUCGUGCCAAAUUAGCGCAACGUCCGUUUGAAUAUUCAUUGUCUCCACUGCAUAGAUACGUCAGACUGAGGCUGUAUAGCUAUCAUUCACUGUUAUUACAGCUACUAGCUUCUUUGCGUAAAGACCUUCGUAAGAAAGCCAUCAGCUACCGUGCGUAAGCUGUUUUAUCCAGAAGAGGAUUACGUUCUCUGCGUAAACUAGAUUUCCAGUAGGCUGCCAUGUUGUACGUGUUUUCAGCCAAGUGAUUUCAUAGCAGUCUGUUUAGUUAUUCGAAAAAGGAAUAACUAACCAAUGGUGUUCAUAUAUAUGGGCAUUUAGGCAAUCAUCAAGAAUCUUCUCCUUCCAAGAUUCUACUUAUUGCAAAUCGGGUAUCCAUUUUUCAACGUAAAACCAUAUGGCAACCAAAAUUUUAGGAGACACGCCGUACCAAAAGGGAUACAGAUGAUUGUGUACUACAACUUAGUGGAAUGAGAAUCGGCAAUUUUACGCAGCAUCAGACAGUCAGUCGCUUGAAAUUGACGACAUUUGUAAGCCGUACGUUGGACAUAGUGAUGAUAGUGAUUCCUCUUCCCUCCUCUCGCCAUUCAAAACAACGUACAUCAUCUCAACAGAUUAUAGGUUUGACGUAAUAACAUGGAAGUCAUUGAUAUUUCCCCUGCGAUUGAACCACUACAAGAGUGGCUUCAAGCUUUUACAUAUAUAUGCUGUUUUACGUUUUAGUUAAACAAAAAGUGCUUGUCGUAUAAGGCAUCUUCUCUUCUAUCUGUUCAAAUUGAAAAUUACAACUGUUCAUUAAUUUUCACCCUUGCAUGAUUUCAUGGUCUACCCAAGUUCUUGAAUAAAUUGCAAAAAACAACUAACCCAAAUAUGUGCGCUAACAGCAUUUUUUCCGUUUAUUGAAAAAUAGUUGGCCUUACUAGAAAACAAACACCGAUAUCGUAAUUAGCGUUCAAUUUGAGAUAUACUGUGUUAUUUUUGUUGGAU